Molecule: ribosomal RNA, 422 nt
Filed under: uncultured bacterium
Lineage: Bacteria
Description: bacterial SSU rRNA
Rfam family: Bacterial small subunit ribosomal RNA
Source: RNAcentral
UGAGGAAUAUUGGGCAAUGCCCGCAAGGGUGACCCAGCAACGCCGCGUGGAGGAUGAAUGUCGUAAGAUUGUAAACUCCUGUUAGAGGGGAAGAAUAGUACCGGUUGGACCGGUAUAUGACUGUACCCUCAGAGAAAGCCCCGGCUAACUACGUGCCAGCAGCCGCGGUAAUACGUAGGGGGCAAGCGUUGUCCGGAUUUACUGGGUGUAAAGGGCGCGCAGGCGGGAUAAAAAGUCAGUGGUGAAAUCCUACAGCUUAACUGUAGAACUGCCUUUGAUACUUUUAUUCUUGAGUUCGGGAGAGAGAGACGGAAUUCCAGGUGUAGUGGGGAAAUACGUAGAUAUCUGGAAGAACACCAGUUGCGAAGGCGGUCUCUUGGUCCGACACUGACGCUGAGGCGCGAAAGCGUGGGGAGCAAACA